This 1075-nucleotide ribosomal RNA is filed under the name uncultured organism. Its description in RNAcentral is "bacterial SSU rRNA". It matches the Rfam family "Bacterial small subunit ribosomal RNA", at positions 31 to 1108 of the family's 1533-position model. The record is from RNAcentral.
GAACGCUGGCGGCAUGCCUGAGAUAUGCAGUCGAACGGUACGUUUCGAGAGCUUGCUCUUGAAACACGAGUGGCGGACGGCUGAGUAAUGCAUAGGAAUCUGCCCCAAACUGGGGGAUAGCUUCGGGAAACUGGAGGUAAUACCCCAUGGUCCUCACUUUUUGUGAUGUAAGGGUUAACUGCCCGGUUUGGGAUGAGCCUAUGUCCUAUCAGGUAGUUGGUAAGGUAACGGCUUACCAAGCCUAUGACGGGUAGCUGGCCUCAUGAGGGUGGUCAGCCAGAGGGGGACUGAGACACGGCCCCCACUCCUACGGGAGGCAGCAAUUAGGAAUAGUCGGCAAUGGGCGAAAGCCUGACCGCGCAAUGCCGCGUGUGGGAUGACACUCUAACGAGCGUAAACCACUGUGGCGAGGGAAGAAGUCUUCGGAUUGACGGUACCUCGCUAGAAAGGGGCCGCUAACUGCGUGCCAGAAGCGUCGGUAAGACGUGGGCCCCGAGCGUUAUCCGGUGUUACUGGGCGUAAAGAGUCGUGUAGGCGGUUCGAAAAGUUACCUUUUAAAUCCCAACGCUCAACGUUGGAACUGGAGGUAAGACUCUCGGACUAGAGUUUUCUACAGGGUGAAUGGAACUGUGGGAGGAGUAGUGAUAUGCGUUGAUCCCCACGGGAACACCAGUGGCGAAGGCGGUUCACUGGUAGAAGACUGACGCUGAGACACGAAAGCUAGGGUAUCGAAGCAGAUUAGAGACCUGCGUAGUCCUAGCCGUAAACGCAUGCUUGCUAGCUGCAUUUCCGCCCCUUCGGGGGUCAGGUGUGGCGAAGGUAACCCGUUAAGCAAGCCGCCUGGGGAUUACGGUCGCAAGACUAAAACUCAAAGGAAUUGGCGGGGAGGCACACAACCAGUGGAACAUGUUGUUUAAUUCGAAACAAACCGAAAAACCUCACCUGGGUUUGACAUGUAGCUGCUCACCCUAUGAAAGUAGGGCUCCUUCGAGGGUGCUACACAGGUGCUGCAUGGCUGUCGUCAGUUCGUUCCGUGAGGAGUGCCCUUAAGUGGGACAACGAACGCAACCCCCAU